RNAcentral lists this ribosomal RNA (309 nucleotides) under uncultured eukaryote. RNAcentral's name for it is "partial 18S ribosomal RNA". It matches the Rfam family "Eukaryotic small subunit ribosomal RNA", at positions 1470 to 1796 of the family's 1831-position model. The record is from RNAcentral.
CCCUUAGAUGUUCUGGGCGGCCCGCGCACUACAAUGGCGUGUGCAGCGAGUGCCGAAGUAGAGUUUUCCGAGGUAUUCUUGCAAUGCUCGUUUUGAUGGGGAUAGACCCUUGCAACUGUUGGUUUUGAACGAGGAAUUCCUUGUAAGCAUGGUUUAUCAUCCGACGCUGAAUACGUCCCUGCCCUUUGUACACACCGCCCGUCGCUCCUACCGAUGAGUCGUCCGGUGAAGUUCGUAGACCUCGUGAUCGCGGAUCACUGGGGGAAGCAAAAUGAACCUCGCGGUUUAGAGGAAGGAGAAGUCGUAACA